RNAcentral lists this ribosomal RNA (762 nucleotides) under uncultured Mycobacterium sp. RNAcentral's name for it is "bacterial SSU rRNA". It matches the Rfam family "Bacterial small subunit ribosomal RNA", at positions 575 to 1338 of the family's 1533-position model. The record is from RNAcentral. Lineage: Bacteria; Bacillati; Actinomycetota; Actinomycetes; Mycobacteriales; Mycobacteriaceae.
GUGGUUUGUCGCGUUGUUCGUGAAAUCUCACGGCUUAACUGUGAGCGUGCGGGCGAUACGGGCAGACUUGAGUACUGCAGGGGAGACUGGAAUUCCUGGUGUAGCGGUGGAAUGCGCAGAUAUCAGGAGGAACACCGGUGGCGAAGGCGGGUCUCUGGGCAGUAACUGACGCUGAGGAGCGAAAGCGUGGGGAGCGAACAGGAUUAGAUACCCUGGUAGUCCACGCCGUAAACGGUGGGUACUAGGUGUGGGUUUCCUUCCUUGGGAUCCGUGCCGUAGCUAACGCAUUAAGUACCCCGCCUGGGGAGUACGGCCGCAAGGCUAAAACUCAAAGAAAUUGACGGGGGCCCGCACAAGCGGCGGAGCAUGUGGAUUAAUUCGAUGCAACGCGAAGAACCUUACCUGGGUUUGACAUGCACAGGACGCCGGCAGAGAUGUCGGUUCCCUUGUGGCCUGUGUGCAGGUGGUGCAUGGCUGUCGUCAGCUCGUGUCGUGAGAUGUUGGGUUAAGUCCCGCAACGAGCGCAACCCUCGCCCCUAGUUGCCAUCAUUCAGUUGGGAACUCUAGGGGGACUGCCGGUGAUAAGCCGCGAGGAAGGUGGGGAUGACGUCAAGUCCUCAUGGCCCUUACAGGCUGGGCUACACACGUGCUACAAUGGCGGUGACAAUGGGCAGCGAAGGGGCGACCCGGUGCUAAUCCCAAAAAGCCGUCUCAGUUCAGAUUGCACUCUGCAACUCGAGUGCAUGAAGGUGGAAUCGCUAG